This 1342-nucleotide long non-coding RNA is filed under the name Equus asinus (donkey). RNAcentral's name for it is "lncRNA (ENSEASG00005023635.1)". The record is from RNAcentral. Lineage: Eukaryota; Metazoa; Chordata; Mammalia; Perissodactyla; Equidae.
GCCUCUGCUCACGCUCUGAGCGCCCAGUACUUGGUGUGUAAUACGGAUCGAAUUCAUAUCUGCUGCAUCCUUCAUUCUUCUGUUAAAAUAUCUUAUUGCGACAUAUAACAGGAACAGAAAGUGCAUAAGUAUAGGUGUACAGCUUAACAAAUUACCACAAAGCAAAUACCCUCUAACUAUCACCCAGAACUAAGAAUAGACCAUGGGCCUCACCGCUGAGAUUUCCCCCGCCCACAGCCGCUAUCUCCACUUUCACAGUAACCCUUGUCUUUUAGGGGUUUUGCAUCUGAGUCAGCAUCCUUAGCCCUCUGGUUUAGUUUCUCCUCUUCCCGGAGCCCUACACUCGCUCCCUGCAGCCUUGCAGGCUCUUCUCUUCUGAGUCUGGCUCCUUGCACUCAAUCCUGCUGCGAGACUCGUGCACUCACGGUGCAGCCGUGCAGUGCAGCCUUUCACAGCUGUACCACGGUCCAGUGUUGACCGCGCCACAGUUCACCCUGUUUUACUGCUGAUGGAUGUUUCGGUUGUUUCCCCGUUGGGGGAUACUGGGAGGAGUUCUGCUCUGAAAUCCUAGCUCCCGUUUUUGGGUGAACGUGCUGCCCAUCUAGCUGUAGAGGAUGUCCUUGAGAGGGGACUGGGGGUCCUCCGUGUUCAGCCUCAGUCCAUGGUGCCAAAUGGCUUUCCUUAGCGGUUGUGCCGAUUUACACUCUAACCAGCAACGCAGAUUUCUGUUCUCUCCCUCCCACUCUCUCUCCCUCUUCCUUCCUUCCAUUUGCUUGCUCACUCAACCCGCCUUUACCAACAGUCUGGGACCCGGCCCGCUGCUUAAAGGUGAAAAGAAGUCAAGAUGCGCGGCCCAAUUCAGGAGGCGGAUAGAUGGGGAGCCACAGAACCAUCCAGAAAUGCUCCAUUUCCCUCCCGUUUCGUUUCUCCACCGCGGCGGCCGGAGCUUCCGGAGCCGUUGAGUCGGCAGCGCCAUCUGCUGGCUGCCUUUUAAAUUGCCGGAUGAGAUCCUCGGGUCCUUCGCCCCAGAAAUGACCCACGGAAAGGAAAAAGAAACGUUUUUAUAAUCUUGAGUACAAUAAAAAUGAAAGUAAGGGGCUCGCCAGGUGGCACAGCAGUUCAGUUCACAUGUUCUGCUUCGGCGACCCAAGGUCCACCAAUUCGUAUCCUGGGUGCAGACCUAUGCACCACUUAGCAAGCCAGGCUGUGGCAGCAUCCCCCGUAUAAAAUAGAGGAGGAUGGGCAUGGAUGUUAGCUCAGGGCUAGUCUUCCUCAGCAAGAAGAGGAGGAUUGACGGUGGAUAUUAGCUCAGGGCUAAUCUUCCUCAAGAAAACCCCCAAAC